Molecule: ribosomal RNA, 802 nt
Filed under: uncultured Pseudoalteromonas sp.
Lineage: Bacteria; Pseudomonadati; Pseudomonadota; Gammaproteobacteria; Alteromonadales; Pseudoalteromonadaceae
Description: bacterial SSU rRNA
Rfam family: Bacterial small subunit ribosomal RNA
Source: RNAcentral
GAUCAGCCACACUGGGACUGAGACACGGCCCAGACUCCUACGGGAGGCAGCAGUGGGGAAUAUUGCACAAUGGGCGCAAGCCUGAUGCAGCCAUGCCGCGUGUGUGAAGAAGGCCUUCGGGUUGUAAAGCACUUUCAGUCAGGAGGAAAGGUUAGUAGUUAAUACCUGCUAGCUGUGACGUUACUGACAGAAGAAGCACCGGCUAACUCCGUGCCAGCAGCCGCGGUAAUACGGAGGGUGCGAGCGUUAAUCGGAAUUACUGGGCGUAAAGCGUACGCGGCGGUCUGUUAAGCGAGAUGUGAAAGCCCCGGGCUCAACCUGGGAACUGCAUUUCGAACUGGCAAACUAGAGUGUGAUAGAGGGUGGUAGAAUUUCAGGUGUAGCGGUGAAAUGCGUAGAGAUCUGAAGNNGAAUACCGAUGGCGAAGGCAGCCACCUGGGUCAACACUGACGCUCAUGUACGAAAGCGUGGGGAGCAAACGGGAUUAGAUACCCCGGUAGUCCACGCCGUAAACGAUGUCUACUAGAAGCUCGGAGCCUCGGUUCUGUUUUUCAAAGCUAACGCAUUAAGUAGACCGCCUGGGGAGUACGGCCGCAAGGUUNAAAACUCAAAUGAAUUGACGGGGGCCCGCACAAGCGGUGGAGCAUGUGGUUUAAUUCGAUGCAACGCGAAGAACCUUACCUACACUUGACAUACAGAGAACUUACCAGAGAUGGUUUGGUGCCUUCGGGAACUCUGAUACAGGUGCUGCAUGGCUGUCGUCAGCUCGUGUUGUGAGAUGUUGGGUUAGGUCCCGCAACGA